GCUCUUGAGCUGCUUGCUCAAGGCCUUUCCUUCCCUAUGGAGUGUACUUUGUUUAAAUCCCUGCCUUCACUGCCUUGCUUUGUUUGUGUGUUUUGUUCAAUUCUCUGUUAAAAACGCCAAGAACCUGGACAACUACCCUAAACAGGCAACAAAAGCACAAAGACGUUGUACACAAAAAUAUUUUCCUUCUGUAUAUCUUUAUUCUAGAAGUUUUUUUCUAUUUAUUUAUUUAUUUUUUAUUUUGAUUGUUUUUUGCCGUUAACAUUUUUUUGUUAAAAAGUAAGACCAAAACACACUUGUUAGCCUGGGCCUACACAGGGUCAUUAAGACAUCACUAAGCAACAGGAAUUUUUUCAGAUCCAUUAUAAUCUUAUGGGACCACAGUGUAUAUGCGGUCUGUUGUUGACCAAAAUAUUGUUGUGUGACACAUUAAUGGGGUGAGGAUAUUAUUCUCUAUUAUUAUCUUAUGUAAUUUUUAAAUGCCAUCAGAUAAAACACAGAAGGGAGCACAGAGCUGCCUGGUCCUGCAGCUCUCCUGGAGUGAGGUGGUGCUGCUAACCACUGGAAGCUGAAGUCCAGAGGCUCUAUUCAGUCAAGGGGUGAUGAACUCUCUUUGGGUCUGGAGACAGGCUGGAACUGGGAUGAGAUAUGGAGACCCUGCCAUUUACGACAACGUGGAUGUAUCUGCAGGACAUUAAGACAAGUGCAAUAAGCAAGACACGGAAAGAAAAUAUAGCAUGGUCUCUCUUAUAUGUGGAAUUUUAAAAAUUAACUCUGAAUACUUUGGAUUAAACUGAUUAAAUGAAGCUGUAAGCAUCUUUGAAGUACAAAUGAUACUUGGAAAGUAAAUGAAACUGGGAAUACUUGCAAGUAAAAUAUGGGAAGUCAAAGAGAUUAAAGGAUGAGAACCAGAAAUUGCUUAUGGCCAGUGUCCUGAGUAAGCCUCAGAAUCGCAUCCUAGAAGCAUCAAGUUCUUGUGUUACCCUAUGGAUCUAAAAAACGACUUCCUUAGUUUGAUGUAGUCUGCAGACAUCUCAUCAUCACAAAAACUUGAAAGCACUUACAGCACUAAGAAACUACCUUUGCAGAUUGUAAAAAAAGAUAGAAUCCUACUUAGUGUUUUGAUCACACCUGCCUAUUUCCCCAAGGUUUUACUGCAGGGUUAAAGAAUGAAUAAGCAUCUAGUUAUAUUUAAUAAACUCCAUGCCUUAUGGCUGAUUCUAAAGGCACAUGGCUUUGUUACAUUCGCUUGAAGCUCUGCUUUAUUUUCUAAAAAUGGUUGCUUACAGUGGUCCCUUGCAGCCCAUGGUGAUAGUUUAUAGGGUGCUAUGUUAUUUUUGUUUACUUGAGUGGAUAUUUAUACACAUGCCUCUUUAGAUUCAGGUGUUUUCAUUUUUUUUGUCAGGAGUUUGGUAUCCAUAUGCAGAAAAAUGCUGAUGAGUCAUUGCAUUUAUCUAUUGCUUAGAGAGAUGAUGAUGGGUCAUAAACCCAGAUAUUUAAACAAACAACCAGAAUAGUUUGUUACUUUCAGGCAAGAUUCCUGAUCGUUUUGUUGUUGUUGUUGCUGUUGUUGUUUUUCCUGCAAUGAAAGAGGCAGCAGAAGGGAAUCAGAUAAAUAACCCUCUCACAUAUCGUAUUUACUUGUAAUAUUGUUAUGCCAUCAAGUAGAACAAAAAUCAAUAUAAUUGCUUUAUAUUUAUCAAG
Long non-coding RNA from Homo sapiens (human), 1704 nucleotides. Lineage: Eukaryota; Metazoa; Chordata; Mammalia; Primates; Hominidae. The record is from Ensembl.